This 619-nucleotide ribosomal RNA is filed under the name uncultured archaeon. Its description in RNAcentral is "bacterial SSU rRNA". It matches the Rfam family "Archaeal small subunit ribosomal RNA", at positions 240 to 859 of the family's 1478-position model. The record is from RNAcentral.
GGUAAUGGCCCACCAAGCCGAUGAUCGGUACGGGUUGUGAGAGCAAGGGCCCGGAGAUGGAACCUGAGACAAGGUUCCAGACCCUACGGGGUGCAGCAGGCGCGAAACCUCCGCAAUGUACGAAAGUGCGACGGGGGGAUCCCAAGUGUUAUGCUUUUUUGUAUGACUUUUCAUUAGUGUAAAAAGCUUUUAGAAUAAGAGCUGGGCAAGACCGGUGCCAGCCGCCGCGGUAACACCGGCAGCUCGAGUGGUAGCUGUUUUUAUUGGGCCUAAAGCGUUCGUAGCCGGUUUGAUAAGUCUUUGGUGAAAGCUUGUAGCUUAACUAUAAGAAUUGCUGGAGAUACUAUUAGACUUGAAGUCGGGAGAGGUUAGAGGUACUACCGGGGUAGGGGUGAAAUCCUAUAAUCCUGGGAGGACCACCUGUGGCGAAGGCGUCUAACUGGAACGAUCUUGACGGUGAGUAACGAAAGCCAGGGGCGCGAACCGGAUUAGAUACCCGGGUAGUCCUGGCCGUAAACGAUGUGGACUUGGUGUUGGAAUGGCUUUGAGUUGUUCCGGUGCCGAAGGGAAGCUGUUAAGUCCACCGCCUGGGAAGUACGGUCGCAAGACUGAAACUUAA